AAUCCAUACAUAGGACACUUCCGCAACAAUUCCUUAAAUCUUUCCCAUGCUUCAAAAAAGCUUUCAUCCUCCAUUUCUUGAAUGAAGUUAGAUUAUUUCGAAGUUU
Hibiscus syriacus is the source of this 106-nucleotide small nucleolar RNA. The record is from RefSeq and is a predicted model, not a curated record. NCBI's taxonomy places the organism in Eukaryota, Viridiplantae, Streptophyta, Magnoliopsida, Malvales, Malvaceae.